This 690-nucleotide long non-coding RNA is filed under the name Marmota monax (woodchuck). Lineage: Eukaryota; Metazoa; Chordata; Mammalia; Rodentia; Sciuridae. The record is from RNAcentral.
AAUGACUUGACUGAGGUUUGAGUUUAAAGUAUGCUCAUUACGAAGCCAGAAUGAGAGAAUAAGUCACAGAACAACAGAGUGAGCCUGGUUAGCUUCCCCUAUCUGCAUCUGUCAGCUUUGGAGAGUUUACAUAUUACACAAUUUCUUUUAAUCCUCACACUAAUUUCAUUCUUUCCUGUCUUCACAGAUGACGAAUUGUGUGGGUAGCUGUGGUGUUAGUUAAGGUUUCCUUGGUUGCAGGCAACAAAACCAUAUCUAAAAUGAGUUUAAGCAAAAAUGGAUACUUACUAGCUCCUAUAACUGGGAAAUUGGGCUAGAUGGGUGUACCUUCAGGUACAGCUGGAUUCAGGGGUUCAAGUAGGGUGCUUAGUGUUCCUGCUCUUUCUUUUGUGGGUUUGUCUCCCUUUGUCUCUUUAUUUCAUUCCAAGACAGAUCUAUGAGGAAAGAUAUCCCAGAGGCCUAUGGAUCCAUAGACAGAGAUGAAUAAGGAAGAAUGACUCUUUGCUUCCCUGUAUGUAUGUGUACAUAUGGCCAUGUAGGGCUCUGUGACUGGCUUAGUCUGAGUCAUGUGUAAACUCUGCAGAAACCAUCAUCUCAGUUAGGAUUAUAUUCUCUGUGAGUAAUAAAGAUUUAAAAUAACAGUGACUUAAAAUAGAGGUUUACUUCUGUAGUGCAAAUAUCUGCAGCUAA